AUGAACGCUGGCGGCGUGCCUAAUACAUGCAGGUCGAGCGAACAGACGAGGAGCUUGCUCCUCUGACGUUAGCGGCGGACGGGUGAGUAACACGUGGAUAACCUACCUAUAAGACUGGGAUAACUUCGGGAAACCGGAGCUAAUACCGGAUAAUAUAUUGAACCGCAUGGUUCAAUAGUGAAAGACGGUUUUGCUGUCACUUAUAGAUGGAUCCGCGCCGCAUUAGCUAGUUGGUAAGGUAACGGCUUACCAAGGCAACGAUGCGUAGCCGAACUGAGAGGGUGGUCGGCCACACUGGAACUGAGACACGGUCCAGACUCCUACGGGAGGCAGCAGUAGGGAAUCUUCCGAAAUGGGCGAAAGCUUGACGGAGCAACGCCGCGUGAGUGAUGAAGGUCUUCGGAUCGUAAAACUCUGUUAUUAGGGAAGAACAAAUGUGUAAGUAACUAUGCACGUCUUGACGGUACCUAAUCAGAAAGCCACGGCUAACUACGUG
RNAcentral lists this ribosomal RNA (496 nucleotides) under uncultured bacterium. RNAcentral's name for it is "partial 16S ribosomal RNA". It matches the Rfam family "Bacterial small subunit ribosomal RNA", at positions 29 to 507 of the family's 1533-position model. The record is from RNAcentral.